This 450-nucleotide ribosomal RNA is filed under the name uncultured bacterium. RNAcentral describes it as "SSU rRNA". It matches the Rfam family "Bacterial small subunit ribosomal RNA", at positions 26 to 518 of the family's 1533-position model. The record is from RNAcentral.
AGAACGAACGCUGGCGGCAGGCUUAACACAUGCAAGUCGAACGCGUGUAGCAAUACACGAGUGGCGCACGGGUGAGUAACGCGUGGAUAUCUGCCUUUUGGUUCGGAAUAACCCCGGGAAACUGGGGCUAAUACCGGAUGGUUCCUACGGGAUAAAGAUUUAUCGCCAAAAGAUGAGUCCGCGUACGAUUAGCUAGUUGGUGAGGUAAUGGCUCACCAAGGCGACGAUCGUUAGCUGGUCUGAGAGGACGAUCAGCCACACUGGGACUGAGACACGGCCCAGACUCCUACGGGAGGCAGCAGUGGGGAAUAUUGCGCAAUGGGCGAAAGCCUGACGCAGCGACGCCGCGUGGGGGAUGAAGGCCUUCGGGUUGUAACCCUUUCAGCAGGGACGAAGCGAAAGUGACGGUACCUGCAGAAGAAGCGCCGGCUACUACGUGCCAGCAGCCGC